Molecule: ribosomal RNA, 253 nt
Filed under: uncultured bacterium
Lineage: Bacteria
Description: partial 16S ribosomal RNA
Rfam family: Bacterial small subunit ribosomal RNA
Source: RNAcentral
UACAGAGGUCCCAAGCGUUGUUCGGAUUCACUGGGCGUAAAGGGUGCGUAGGCGGUCGGGUAAGUCUGGCGUGAAAUCUCCAAGCCUAACUUGGAAACUGCGUUGGAUACUAUCCGGCUCGAGGAGUGGAGGGGAGACUGGAAUACUUGGUGUAGCAGUGAAAUGCGUAGAUAUCAAGUGGAACACCAGUGGCGAAGGCGAGUCUCUGGACAUUUCCUGACGCUGAGGCACGAAAGCCAGGGGAGCAAACGGG